UUCUAAGGGCGGUGAAGUCAGACCGGAAGGACUGGUGGAGCGCUUAGAAGUGAGAAUGCCGGUAUGAGUAGCGAAAGAAGGGUGAGAAUCCCUUCCACCGAAUAUCUAAGGUUUCCUGAGGAAGGCUCGUCCGCUCAGGGUUAGUCGGGACCUAAGCCGAGGCCGAUAGGCGUAGGCGAUGGACAACAGGUAGAGAUUCCUGUACCAGUGCUAAUUGUUUAACCGAUGGGGUGACACAGAAGGAUAGGGAAUCGCACGAAUGGAAAUGUGCGUCCAAGCAGUGAGUGUGAGAAGUAGGCAAAUCCGCUUCUCGCGAAGCAUGAGCUGUGAUGGGGAAGGAAAUUAAGUACGGAAGUUCCUGAUUUCACGCUGUCAAGAAAAGCCUCUAGGAAGAGUAGUACUGCCCGUACCGCAAACCGACACAGGUAGAUGAGGAGAGAAUCCUAAGGUGAGCGAGAGAACUCUCGUUAAGGAACUCGGCAAAAUGACCCCGUAACUUCGGGAGAAGGGGUGCUCUAUUAGGGUGCAAGCCCGAGAGAGCCGCAGUGAAUAGGCCCAGGCGACUGUUUAGCAAAAACACAGGUCUCUGCAAAACCGUAAGGUGACGUAUAGGGGCUGACGCCUGCCCGGUGCUGGAAGGUUAAGAGGAGUGCUUAGCUUCGGCGAAGGUACGAAUUGAAGCCCCAGUAAACGGCGGCCGUAACUAUAACGGUCCUAAGGUAGCGAAAUUCCUUGUCGGGUAAGUUCCGACCCGCACGAAAGGCGCAACGAUCUGGGCACUGUCUCAACGAGAGACUCGGUGAAAUUAUAGUACCUGUGAAGAUGCAGGUUACCCGCGACAGGACGGAAAGACCCCGUGGAGCUUUACUGCAACCUGAUAUGGAAUGUUUGUACCGCUUGUACAGGAUAGGUAGGAGCCGAAGAGACGUGUGCGCUAGCAUACGAGGAGGCAAUGGUGGGAUACUACCCUGGCUGUAUGACCAU
This 984-nucleotide ribosomal RNA is filed under the name Listeria monocytogenes. RNAcentral's name for it is "partial 23S ribosomal RNA". It matches the Rfam family "Bacterial large subunit ribosomal RNA", at positions 1239 to 2220 of the family's 2925-position model. The record is from RNAcentral. Lineage: Bacteria; Bacillati; Bacillota; Bacilli; Caryophanales; Listeriaceae.